GAUGAACGCUAGCUACAGGCUUAACACAUGCAAGUCGAGGGGCAGCAUGAAUAUUGGCUUGCCAAUAUUUGAUGGCGACCGGCGCACGGGUGAGUAACACGUAUCCAACCUUCCGGUUACUCGGGGAUAGGCUUUCGAAAGAAAGAUUAAUACCCGAUGUUGUGUAUCUUUCUCCUGAAAGAUACGCCAAAGGAUUCCGGUAACCGAUGGGGAUGCGUUCCAUUAGGCAGUUGGCGGGGUAACGGCCCACCAAACCUUCGAUGGAUAGGGGUUCUGAGAGGAAGGUCCCCCACAUUGGAACUGAGACACGGUCCAAACUCCUACGGGGGGCAGCAGUGAGGAAUAUUGGUCAAUGGACGGAAGUCUGAACCAGCCAAGUAGCGUGAAGGAUGACUGCCCUCUGGGUUGUAAACUUCUUUUAUACGGGAAUAACAUGAGGUACGCGUACCUUAUUGCAUGUACCGUUAUGAAUAAGCAUCGGCUAACUCCGUGCCAGCAGCCGCGGUAAUACGGAGGAUGCGAGCGUUAUCCGGAUUUAUUGGGUUUAAAGGGAGCGUAGGUGGGAUAUUAAGUCAGCUGUAAAAGUUUGGGGCUCAACCUUAAAAUUGCAGUUGAUACUGGUUUCCUUGAGUACGGUACAGGUGGGCGGAAUUCGUGGUGUAGCGGUGAAAUGCUUAGAUAUCACGAAGAACUCCGAUCGCGAAGGCAGCUCACCGGGCCGGAACUGACACUGAUGCUCGAAAGUGCGGGUAUCAAACAGGAUUAGAUACCCUGGUAGUCCGCACAGUAAACGAUGAAUACUCGCUGUUUGCGAUACACUGUAAGCGGCCAAGCGAAAGCGUUAAGUAUUCCACCUGGGGAGUACGCCGGCAACGGUGAAACUCAAAGGAAUUGACGGGGGCCCGCACAAGCGGAGGAACAUGUGGUUUAAUUCGAUGAUACGCGAGGAACCUUACCCGGGCUUAAAUUGCGCUGGCUUUUACCGGAAACGGUAUUUUCUUCGGACCAGCGUGAAGGUGCUGCAUGGUUGUCGUCAGCUCGUGCCGUGAGGUGUCGGCUUAAGUGCCAUAACGAGCGCAACCCUUAUCUUUAGUUACUAACAGUUUUGCUGAGGACUCUAAAGAGACUGCCGUCGUAAGAUGCGAGGAAGGUGGGGAUGACGUCAAAUCAGCACGGCCCUUACGUCCGGGGCUACACACGUGUUACAAUGGGGAGCACAGCAGGUUGCUACACGGCGACGUGAUGCCAAUCCGUAAAACUCCUCUCAGUUCGGAUCGAAGUCUGCAACCCGACUUCGUGAAGCUGGAUUCGCUAGUAAUCGCGCAUCAGCCACGGCGCGGUGAAUACGUUCCCGGGCCU
RNAcentral lists this ribosomal RNA (1359 nucleotides) under uncultured bacterium. Its description in RNAcentral is "bacterial SSU rRNA". It matches the Rfam family "Bacterial small subunit ribosomal RNA", at positions 28 to 1381 of the family's 1533-position model. The record is from RNAcentral.